UUAAUUUCCGAUUUUUGCGUCGAUUCGCUAGGCCCGACCGCCCAAUUUAAAAAUCACAUUCAUAAACAACGAUGAAAAAGAGAAGAAUCCCCAUUCGAAAUCUCCUUUCCUCGACAUGAACCCUAAAACUCUUGAUUCCUCAAUUCGAAUCUCUUACGUUUUGACUCAAAAUCUUCUUCUCACCUUUCUCUGCCACUAAAAGCUUCGGUUCACAAGCGCAUGAACUAUCCUUCUUACGUUGCCGGAGACUGAUCGUUAGAUAAUGGCGACGUUUGAGCUAUACAGCAGAUCAACGACAGGGAUGUGUUUGAAAGAGACUUUGGCCUAGAUGGUUCAGAGCGGUACCUUGAGCCCUGAGCUACCAAUCCAAGUCCUUGUUCAGUUUGACAAGGUGGCUGAUCUUGGAGUCUUUUGGUUUUGCUUCUGUUGUUUUUUGUUUUCUUUCUGUCUGAUAUCUGUGUUCCUUUGAAGACCAAGGACGCAAUGUUCAAGAUAUACGAGUGUCAGGAGAAUGUGAGCCGGGUCAAGAUAGUGGCAUGUGACUCUAAGCUACUCACACAGUCAGAUGUAGUAGAUUUUUGAGUUUUCCUUUUUCACUUUGUAAAACUCAGGCACUUGCUAUAUGUUGAGCUCCAUUUGCAGCCAUCAAUUUAGCCCCCCUUUAUAUGUACAUUAUCGGUCCAAAGACAUAUGGGACUCUUGUUGCUAUGAGAAAGUACUGAAAUUCACCA
This is a long non-coding RNA of Raphanus sativus (radish), 731 nucleotides long. RefSeq lists it as uncharacterized. The transcript is spliced from 3 exons. Lineage: Eukaryota; Viridiplantae; Streptophyta; Magnoliopsida; Brassicales; Brassicaceae. The record is from RefSeq and is a predicted model, not a curated record.